This 512-nucleotide ribosomal RNA is filed under the name uncultured Desulfobulbus sp. RNAcentral's name for it is "bacterial SSU rRNA". It matches the Rfam family "Bacterial small subunit ribosomal RNA", at positions 903 to 1382 of the family's 1533-position model. The record is from RNAcentral. Lineage: Bacteria; Pseudomonadati; Thermodesulfobacteriota; Desulfobulbia; Desulfobulbales; Desulfobulbaceae.
CGCCUUGCCAGCCCGCUCAGAAACUCAAAUGAAUUGACGGGGGCCCGCACAAGCGGUGGAGUAUGUGGUUUAAUUCGAUGCAACGCGAAGAACCUUACCUGGUCUUGACAUCCCGGAGACCCUUAGGAAACUAGGGGGUGCUUCCAUCUGGAAGAAUCUGGAGACAGGUGCUGCAUGGCUGUCGUCAGCUCGUGUCGUGAGAUGUUGGGUUAAGUCCCGCAACGAGCGCAACCCUUGCCUUUAGUUGCCAGCAGUUCGGCUGGGCACUCUAAAGGGACUGCCGGUGUUAAACCGGAGGAAGGUGGGGAUGACGUCAAGUCCUCAUGGCCUUUAUGACCAGGGCUACACACGUACUACAAUGGCCGAUACAAAGGGCAGCGACACUGCGAGGUGAAGCCAAUCCCGUAAAAUCGGUCUCAGUCCGGAUUGGAGUCUGCAACUCGACUCCAUGAAGUUGGAAUCGCUAGUAAUCGUGGAUCAGCCAAGCCGCGGUGAAUACGUUCCCGGGCCUU